GGAGGGGUGGGUGAGUGGCUGAAACCAACGGUUUGCUAAAUCGUCCAGGGACCUAAAUCCCUGCGCGGGUUCGAAUCCCGCCCCCUCCGCCA
This 92-nucleotide transfer RNA is filed under the name Paramagnetospirillum magneticum AMB-1. RNAcentral's name for it is "tRNA-Ser (GCT) (tRNA-Ser-GCT-1-1)". It matches the Rfam family "tRNA". Rfam says of the family: Transfer RNA (tRNA) molecules are approximately 80 nucleotides in length. Their secondary structure includes four short double-helical elements and three loops (D, anti-codon, and T loops). RNAcentral also lists the same sequence under 3 other names. Lineage: Bacteria; Pseudomonadati; Pseudomonadota; Alphaproteobacteria; Rhodospirillales; Magnetospirillaceae. The record is from RNAcentral.